GGGGAUAUAGCUCAGGAGGGAGAGCGUCUGCGUCCGCAUCGCAGAGGUCAAGGAUUCGAGUCCCCCUAUCUCUACCA
RNAcentral lists this transfer RNA (77 nucleotides) under subsurface metagenome. RNAcentral's name for it is "tRNA-Ala". It matches the Rfam family "tRNA". From Rfam's summary of the family: Transfer RNA (tRNA) molecules are approximately 80 nucleotides in length. Their secondary structure includes four short double-helical elements and three loops (D, anti-codon, and T loops). Further hydrogen bonds mediate the characteristic L-shaped molecular structure. tRNAs have two regions of fundamental functional importance: the anti-codon, which is responsible for specific mRNA codon recognition, and the 3' end, to which the tRNAs corresponding amino acid is attached (by aminoacyl-tRNA synthetases). tRNAs cope with the degeneracy of the genetic code in two manners: having more than one tRNA (with a specific anti-codon) for a particular amino acid; and 'wobble' base-pairing, i.e. permitting non-standard base-pairing at the 3rd anti-codon position. The record is from RNAcentral.